This is a long non-coding RNA of Drosophila yakuba, 3356 nucleotides long. RefSeq lists it as uncharacterized. The transcript has 2 exons. The record is from RefSeq and is a predicted model, not a curated record. Lineage: Eukaryota; Metazoa; Arthropoda; Insecta; Diptera; Drosophilidae.
UCACCCCGAAAGAUUAACAUUCUUGAGCAGCGGGAUUUAAUGGUUUCUGGGGAAAUCUUUGAUGUGCAGCGGAAAGUCUAUUUCCCAGCGCGGUAGGUGCAACUAUUAAAGUGCAAUCAGCUCAACUGGCUGCCCAAAACACGAAACUAAUUAUAAUUAAUUUCAGAAAAGCCAUGCUAUGUUGAUUGUUUUAUAUUUAAUUAUAUUAAAUAUUUAAAUUCCAAGUUACUGUCAUGUAAAAUGUGAGAAUAUCUGAUUCCUGCCACUCCUCCACAGCACCCACACUUUCUAGGAUAUUUCGUGGCCUUAAGCACGCACCAUAAUUCACGGGAAUUAGCUCAGACAUGCCAUUGUCGCCCGGCUUGAUAGCUGCUCGUCGGGACCGGGAUCUUGGAACACCCAGGGGACUGGGCUCCGGGCACUUGGCACUCCGGCUCUCGAGGAUUUUGGCACCUGCCGCUUUGGCAGAUGCCUGGGAUUAGGACUCGGUCACGUUGAUGAUGACCCACCCAUUGUGUGAUGCACUUUUCGCAGUUGUUGGCGUCAGCAAGUGGGCCUGCUGGAUGAUUGAUGGACCCUGCCAGGGCAUACCAGUUGGAGAGCUGCGGGCACGCAUUAUAAUCCUCUGAACUCACCUGCCCAACUGUCCACCCUUACUCCUGGCCUGCAGUAUCACGAUGAUGAUGACGACGACGUGGCCGAAGUGGCAGAGGCAGAGGUGUUGCCCACUUGCACUUAAUUGCAUGUUUGGUCAGGCGAAUCAACGCCCAGGCCAGAAAACCGCCAAAGUCAAAGCCGAAAACGCCCCUGGAAUGUGCAGCCCACUAUUGCCUCUUCAGAUAACUUUCCGCUCAUCUGCACUGCACAAAAUUCUAUUUCAGUUGGUCUGGCAGCGAAGGAAUAUUUAUGGAGUGCAGACAAGAUGUAAAACCCAUUUCUAACAUGUCUCUUAAUUUGUCUCUUGAAACAUUACAUAUAAAAUUGGAUUACUGUGUGGUAUCCCCAUUUGUUCUCAGUGUGGUGAGGCGCCCCGCUGAGUGGCGAUGGUGGCUGGCGGGGAAAUUUAUGUGGCCAGUUGGCCACGGCUAGAAGAACUUUGUGUGCACGGGAAGGCGCUCGGUAAGGAGAAGGGGACGAUGGUAUUGCUGUUAUUGCUCCGCUCCUGCUGUUGCUGCAUAAUUGAUAAAUGUUUACAAAUUAUUAUGUUGCACAUACAGCAGUGGCAGCAGCAGCAGUACCAUCGCCAUGGAAUGGCCACCCAGGCGAGGAUGCCCCACCCAAUCCCCACCAAUCCCCAUUUACACAGCGGACCUCGUGUGGGGAUUUUCUUGUGCCUUGGAACCUGGUGAAAGCCGGCGAAUUGGCGUUAUACUUUAUUAAUUUUAAAUACCCUAACCUGUUAGCCUGACAACGAUUUGAAAUAGGCAACCACAAGUAAUGGUAACUUUUCCAUUAACAUAAAAAAUAAUAUAAAACAUAUCAUAAAUAUAUCUUUGAAGUAUAUUACUUGAUUAAGUCUUUUAUAUAUUUUUUAACAAAACUCUUUAAAUUCGUACAUAUAUUUUACUUCCUCCUAUAAAGGCUAUCUAUAAUUUUAAUAUUUUAAAGAGUAUUACCGAUUUCAAUGCUACGCCGUGACUUUCUCCCUUUCUGUUCUUUAGCUUUUAUUUUUGCUUCAGCUCCAGCCGUGUUGCCGUUUUUCUCACGGCGAGGCGCCAACUGCAUUUUCAUUUAAUGUUUGCUGCAGCCGCUAAUUAAAAUGAAUCCACGUAGACAGGCGGGCUGAAUAUUAAAGCCCAUAGGUAGAAGAGGAGUCUCUUCCAUUAGCCGCGACGGGCAUUGUGUAAUGGAUAGGGGGCCGUAUUUAUAGCCAAAUCAAAUCGCUGGCAAAAUCAUUUUCCACCGAAGGACGGCGCUGCCACAUUGCCCUUGGCAUUAGCUUUGUUUUACUCCGCCACACUUUUUUGUAUUCCGAUUCACAUUUACCGCAUUCAAUUUGCCUAAGUUGCCAUUCGGAUUGCGAAGGGGAAUUGCAGGGACAGCAGCUGCCGAAAGAAAUGAAAUCGAAUUCAAUACAAAAUGCAAAUGAGGCAUCGGUAUGGAGAUUGGGAACCGCAAACGAGGAUUGGCAUGAGAAAUGAGACGCCAUUGAAAUCAUAAAAAUCAAAUUUGAAAUUGAUAGGAAGCCAGCACAGCGGAGGAGAAAUAACUCAAUCUGAAAUCGAAACCAGGUCGAGAACAAAGUCAUCCCCUAAUUGAGAUGAGCUCCUGCGAGGAUGGGUACUGAUACGAUUGAGAUAUUCGUACAAUCUGACAGACACUUCCGGGUAAUUAUUGAAAAUAGUUUGCCCACCAACAAUGCCGAUCUAUGACACUUUUCCAGCGUUUUUCCGGGGCACAACUUUUCAUUGCCCUAAACCGCUUAGCUCGCAAAUGACGAGGGGAAAAGCAAAUUGACUCGAGAUAAAACUGCCACGGCCCAAGGCCGAAAACCCAAAACAAACCCUAACCAAAAAACACAGAAAAGGGUACCUAACCCCAGUUAGAGAGCAACGCUAUUUCCGGUUGCCCCCCGGGGGUCAAAGACAGGGAUAGACGACAACAGAGUGAGACAGAUUGCUGGACGGCGAAAGGAAAGGGGCCACAUCCAGUCAGCAUUCAAAUAUUUGUCAUCAUCAAAUGACAUCUGUUUGUCGUUGGCUUUUGUUUUGAAGGCCGUCCAAAAGUUCGUGUAGUCAAAGGUCAGUGUCUGGCAUAUGAAAAAGGUGCGUUUCAGCAGUGUAGGCUGGUUACACAUACACGUUGGAAUGUCAUGGUAUAUUUGAGGAACUCAUUUGUGUUUUCAUUACUAACACUACUCAAUGCGUAACCAUUAUGCGAAAAGAAAAACUAGACACAAGCAAAUCGCAAAUCGAAACGUCUUUUAAAAAUUAUAAAUAAAUGCUUGAUGUUUAAAAAUCGCUUUUGCCGAUAAGAAUUUAAAAUUUAACAUGACAAGGAACCUUGAUGUGAAUUUAAGAGUUCACUCUUGUAGAAGAAAUAAGAGGCAAAUCGUUGUCAGCGCAACGAAGAAUUUGCAUAAAUCUCACGCUUGAUCUGCCACGCCCCUUCUCCUUUCCAGAGGCAGAGUUAGAAAGGUGAAAGGUGAGCGGAGAUAAAAUAGAUAUGGGUAGAUAUGCAGACUUUAACGAGCUGCCACGUUCCCCAGAAGCUGCAACAAUUUUCAAUGGAAAAUGCAGCGGCUGAAAAUGUAAAUAGCUAACAAGAAAAUACAUUAAAAGCCAGCUGAACCGAGCCGAAAGUGCAGCAGCGCACCGAGAUUUUCCAAUUCCCCAAAUAAAUACCAGAAGACCCAA